CUGGCAGACCUACAGCAAAUGCAAACUGUACAUCUUGAGAAGCUAAGUGACAUACAAUGUCAACCUGAGUCACAGCUAAAGUUCAUUACCGAGGCCUGGCUACAGAUAGUUGAAUGCAGGCGAGUUUUGAAAUGGACUUAUGCCUAUGGAUAUUAUUUACCUGAGCAUGAACAUGGGAAGAGACAGUUCUUUGAGUAUUUGCAAGGUGAAGCUGAGUCUGGGUUGGAACGUCUUCAUCAAUGUGCUGAGAAGGAGCUCCAGGUUUAUCUAAAUUCAGAGGGCCCAUCAAAGGAUUUUAAUGAGUUCCGUACCAAACUUGCUGGGUUGACCAGUGUCACUCGGAACUAUUUCGAGAACUUAGUACGAGCUUUGGAGAAUGGUUUAUCAGAUGUGGACUCUCAUGGUGCAUGCAGCAGGACAACAAACUCAAAGAGCUUGGGAGGUGGAAGCAGCAGGGGGAGAAGUGGGAGAGGCAAGGGUUCAACAUCCAGAUCAAGUGGCCCUAGCAGAAACAUUGAUGAUUCAGGCCACUGGUCAUGUGAACAUUGUACGUAUGCAAAUAUCAGGUCGGCUACCAUUUGUGCGAUCUGCCAACAAUGUCGUUAAAUUUCAUUUUCUUCACCGGCAGGCCGCCUAGACGGGAAUUUUCCGUUUUGCCUCUUUGGCUGUCCAAUUGUUUUGGGGAAACACCUUUUAGAUCAUUGCUGAGUGAAAGAAUAAUGCUCCAAUAAUUUCUCUGCUUUAAGACCUGAAGAGCAAUGAUGGAGAAUGGAAAUAGGGAAGGUAGAAACUUCACCUGUUUGACUUGUUUCUGAAAUCAGCUGUAAAUAGUUGCUGCCAUUUAUGACGAUCUUUAACUUGUACUAGUUAUCUUAUAUCAGGACCCAUGCAAAUGUAUUCAUCUGUAAUCUUUACCAUCAUUUAUUUAUGUUGUUACUAAUAGAUGUAUAAAGCACUUGAAGUUUUCAAGUGUUUUGGAGGAGUGAUAGCCACUUGAGGUCAAUAGGUUGCAAAUAAAUAUGUUGUACCGUUUGUUUUUGCUGGAUGAAUUGCUUUUACCGUUAAAAUUCUUUUAGUAUCAAAAUGGAGAUUAUAAUAUGAUGAUAUUAUGGUUGGG
Molecule: unclassified non-coding RNA, 1117 nt
Filed under: Hevea brasiliensis (rubber tree)
Lineage: Eukaryota; Viridiplantae; Streptophyta; Magnoliopsida; Malpighiales; Euphorbiaceae
Source: RNAcentral